AUGAGCUGGUGGUGGGCGGGCGCGGUGGGCGCGGUCAAGAAGCGGCAGGACGAGCGGGCGGCGGCGGCCGAGCCCACCUUCCAGAGCGUGGCGCUCAUCCUCGGCUCCACGGGGAUCGUCGGCACCUCCCUCCUCGACAUCCUCCCGCGGGACGACACCCCGGGCGGGCCCUGGAAGGUGUACGCCGUCUCCCGCCGCGCGCCGCCGGGCUGGUCCACCCCGCCGCCGUCCCCGGCCGUCACGCACCUCCAGCUCGACCUCGCCGACCCGGCCGCCGUCAGGGACGCCCUGACGCCGCUCACCGACGUCACCCACGUCUUCUACGCCGCGUGGUCCAGCCACGAGACCGAGGACCGCAACCGGGAGGUCAACGCCGGCAUGCUCCGCAACGUGCUCUCCGUGGUUGUGCCCGGCUGCCCCGCGCUCGCCCACGUCUGCCUCCAGACCGGCCGCAAGCACUACGUCGGCCCGUUUGAUGUCAUCGGCAAGAUCCCGGCCCCCGACCCGCCGUACACCGAGGACAUGCCCCGGUUGGAUCACCCCAACUUCUACUACGACCUGGAGGACGUCCUCUUCGACCACGUCUCCGGCCGCGACGGCGCCGUCACCUGGUCCGUGCACCGCCCCACCGUCAUCUUCGGCUUCUCCCCCCGCAGCGCCAUGAACGUGGUCGGCAGCCUGUGCGUAUACGCCGCCAUCUGCCGCAAGGAGGGCGCCACGCUGCGGUGGCCCGGCUGCAAGGUCGCCUGGGAGGGCUUCACCGACGCCUCCGACGCCGACCUUGUCGCUGAGCAUGAGAUCUGGGCGGCCGUCGACCCGUUUGCCAAGAACGAGGCUUUCAAUUGCAGCAAUGGGGAUGUGUUCAAGUGGAAGCAACUCUGGCCGCUGCUGGCCGACCGCUUCGGGGUGGAGUGGGCAGGGUAUGAGGGAGAGGACAGCCGGUUUGCGCUCGCGGAUGCCAUGGCUGGGAAGGAGGCGGUGUGGACGGAGAUCAUCCAGGAGAACGAGCUUGUCACCACGGAGCUCGAGGAGAUCACCAGUUGGUGGUUUGUCGAUGCCAUGCUCAGUAUCGACAUUGAGCAUUUGGACAACAUGAACAAGAGCAAGGAGCAUGGGUUCCUCGGCUUCCGUAACACCAUCAACUCCUUCAAUGCUUGGAUCGAUAAGAUGAAGGCUUCCAAGGUUGUUCCUUGA
Molecule: ribosomal RNA, 1194 nt
Filed under: Triticum aestivum (bread wheat)
Lineage: Eukaryota; Viridiplantae; Streptophyta; Magnoliopsida; Poales; Poaceae
Description: partial small subunit ribosomal RNA
Source: RNAcentral